RNAcentral lists this ribosomal RNA (506 nucleotides) under uncultured bacterium. RNAcentral's name for it is "partial 16S ribosomal RNA". It matches the Rfam family "Bacterial small subunit ribosomal RNA", at positions 29 to 523 of the family's 1533-position model. The record is from RNAcentral.
AGUGAACGCUGGCGGUAGGCCUAACACAUGCAAGUCGAACGGCAGCACAGGAGAGCUUGCUCUCUGGGUGGCGAGUGGCGGACGGGUGAGGAAUACAUCGGAAUCUACUCUGUCGUGGGGGAUAACGUAGGGAAACUUACGUUAAUACGGCAUACGACCUACGGGUGAAAGCAGGGGAUCUUCGGACCUUGCGCGAUUGACUGAGCCGAUGUCGGAUUAGCUAGUUGGCGGGGUAAAGGCCCACCAAGGCGACGAUCCGUAGCUGGUCUGAGAGGAUGAUCAGCCACACUGGAACUGAGACACGGUCCAGACUCCUACGGGAGGCAGCAGUGGGGAAUAUUGGACAAUGGGCGCAAGCCUGAUCCAGCCAUACCGCGUGGGUGAAGAAGGCCUUCGGGUUGUAAAGCCCUUUUGUUGGGAAAGAAAUCCAGCUGGCUAAUACCCGGUUGGGAUGACGGUACCCAAAGAAUAAGCACCGGCUAACUUCGUGCCAGCCGCCGCCGUAA